Brienomyrus brachyistius is the source of this 3271-nucleotide long non-coding RNA. RefSeq lists it as uncharacterized. The transcript is spliced from 3 exons. The record is from RefSeq and is a predicted model, not a curated record. Lineage: Eukaryota; Metazoa; Chordata; Actinopteri; Osteoglossiformes; Mormyridae.
UUUAAAUGGACCCUGGUGGGGGUCUGUUAAGGCAUCUGGACAAGGAGAGGAGGGCAGGGCUAAGAGGAGCAACUGAUGGAAUUAAGGAUUAGGAACGCAGAGCUGUGCUCAGAUCAGGAGUCGACUGCGACAGCAAUGUUUACCCGACUUAACGAUCUGCCGUAACCUUUCUGAUGAUACGAUUAAUCACGCAGAUAAUAUUCCCCAGAAAACAGCCCUCCAUCAUUGUUUGGUUGCUGAGCAAUUCGGCAAAGUGAUUAUGCAGACAACUCAAUUAAUGAGGGAUUCUGAGGUGCUUGUGCGGCCCUCCACUGUAAUGCUGUUCCUUCAGCGAGCUUCGUUUCACCUGAAAUGCUGGCUCUAGCCCCCCAGCGUGGUCCCUGAUUUCCGAUACUCAUUAGGCUCCCCUCAUAAGCAUUGACCCUUAAGUGAGUUAAUUGCGAUUUGUGGAAGUGCCUGAUUUGGUGUAAGAUUCUUGUGUUUACCAGGCCGUCAGGCACAGGGGAGCAAAGUUGGGGUGCUUCCAGUCUGGCUAUCAGGCAUAUCCGCCAUUUUCCCAGUGGGCGAAAGCUUUUAUUGUCGCCCCCCACCUUUAGCAAAAUGUACUGUGGGGGACCCCUAAAUCCAGCCCUUCUUCCAGUUAUAAACUGAAUCACACCCCCACGAGGCCUGUUCUUUUAGCAUCUCCGGGCCGUGUGUUUUGAGCUCUUGAGAUCUGAUGUAGUUAUUUUUUUUUUUUUCGUUAGGCAGGAUGGAUCACAGUCAGGCUGACACCUCCCCCAACAAGCCUUCCUCCCCAGCGGAUCUGAGCACCUCCUUACGAUCAAAAGGAUGGAGCUGGUUCAUCGUUGCAUCCCGUUAUCACUGUCAUUAUGUAACUUAACUGGUGCAUUCAGAGAGACCAUCAGUUCCUAUAGCUGCAGGGUUCGAGAUGGAUUGUUCAGGUCAAGAAAGCAAAAAUGCAGACCAAGCAGUUGGCUGAAAUAAAACAUUGGUCUGGAUUUACACUUUCUGAACCUUAACUUUCCACUUCUUCCUAAAUAGGUUAGCAAACUAUCAUCUUGAUGCAUCACUCUACAUUUUCUGUGUUAAUAAGCAUGUUUCACACCAGGCAGUAUUUCACCUCCGCAUGCAUUAACUGUUACAUAGCACCUGUUCGCUUUUCUAUAGAGAAACCGCUUUCGUGGAAAAGGUUUGUUGAAAUGCGAUUCAAAAUCACGUUCUGACCUCACGCCUCAAGGGUUGUGGGUUCGACUACUGCCCAGCACCCUAAUUGCAUGAUUGCAGGAGUGAUUCUGGGUUCCUCUGCCUCUAAAGGUGCCUGCUUCAGGUGGAUCGGUGUCUCUUCGUAGCCCUCUGAUGGACCUUUACUGACAGGACUCGGCUUCGGGGCACAUUGAGAUCCUGUACUGGGGCCCCCACCUUGUAGACUGUGUACAGACAGGCGAACCAAGGAUUGAAAGGUCUUCGCAGGGAUUACCCAUAAUCACCCGGGGCUGAGGGAGAAGCCGGCUCUUUGGGGGCAUCGAAACGCUCGCCCUCUAACACGAUCUUCAGACUCCCGAAAUUCAUCUACAUGUCAAGAUGCUCCAAAAAGAAUUAUGAUAACGGAAACUUCACACGAUUCAGAAGCAGACGAGCUGCUUCCACAGAAGCUGGUGACGUCAGGCAGGGGCACAGGAAUUGGGGGGUGAAGAGGACAUGGGGAUCAGUACAAUAAGCCCCCCCUCCUCCCCACACUGUUAGUGACUGGCACUAGCAGCAGCUACAGACUGUCUCCAGGUUACAAAAAAGGUCCAUCAAUUUUGUAACUGUCGGAAAAAUAAUAACAGAGAACAUAAUAAUAAAAAGAGUAAUUAUUAUACAGCUAUACUACAGUACUCUACUCUACUCAGUACUCAAUAUUUUCAUGAGCGUGAAAAUACAGUGUGUGCGUUCAUUGCCAUGAACGCACUGAAGUAUUAACUGAAUAUUUAAUACAAUAGGCUUUAUGGAAGUCUGUUUGUAAAUAUAAGUCAUCCAUAAGUUGGAUCUUCUUUCCCUGGGGGCAGCCUGCAUGUCAUUUGCUAAUUCCUGACUGUUAACAUCUGCAUGUACGAUUUCUAUGCCAGCGCCGCUGUCGUUUAUACUGUUUUGACUUGAUCUUUGUAAAAAAAAAAAAGUGCUUAUUUCUGGCACGUUAAGCAAUUAUCCACCUCUUGCUUCCUUUUCUUUUGUUGCCUUUGAUGCGCCACUGGGAUCUCGUGUUUUAGCGAGAUCCAUUUAAACUCCUCAAAUCCUAUCGACCACCCACCACUGCAUUCUCUGUAAGUGAGUGACUGGGCUCCUGCCAGUAUUUGAUUGGCUGAUUAGUGCCCUCUUCCUCCAAUGAGACUUUUUUAUCGGGCAUGUUCAAAGGCCACUUGAGACACAGGGCCCCUGGGCGUGUGCUCAGGUUAUCCAUAUGGUAAAUCUGCCCAUGCCCCCCCCACCAUAUUUCAAACUCUGUUCUAUGCUGCUGACAUCACGACAGACAAUAUAAUUCUAUACCUCAUACUUCAAGCUUAUAUGCAUUUCUCAUAUAUAUCUUACGAUGCAGGUAUUAUUGUUUUAUUUAAUUAGCAACUUAACUCACUGCAACCUCCGUUGAUUAGACACCAGAUCUUCUUUCUUUUUAUUUUCUAAUUUAUUUAUUUUCUAAAGUCAUCAUUGUUGGCGACUGUGAGAAAAAUCGCGGUAACCAAACUGUGCAAAUUCGGUUUUUGUGCGUCCGGUUCGGAAGCAGAAUCCUUUUGUUUUCGUUGUCUUCAUUGUUCUCCCUCCCCUCUUCCAUCCUAAAAUAUUCCGGAUUCCUUCCUUUCAUCUCCAUGUCACACGUCUCUAUUAACGGUUCCACUGAGAAGAAGCCCUGCGCUAUAAUACAUGUGAAAUAUGCAACAUUUAAUAGCUGAAUUGAAUGAACCGUUAAAAUAAGCAUGCAGGUACUGAUCUUUGCUUUUUCAUAUUGAGGAUGUCUUCCAGUUUGUCGCCUUGCAAUCCUCAGUUGUGUUUCACCAAAAAUAUUGACAUCAAAACUAAAAAAAGAAUCCCAUACACAUUAAAUUUGGUGCCAUUUUUACACCUGGAUGCAUUUUUAAUAACUUAUUAAUGUAUCACGUGACAGUAAUCUUGGAAUAGGAUUCACACAGUUCUUCAGCUGCAGGCUGUCCCCAAGUUAAGAAAGUCUGACUUACGGACUAAUUGCAUUUAUAAAGGGACUGCCAUGAAGCCGAUUAUAUUCAAAAAAAUUGAG